GAGAAAAUCAAGUUAAAAAACCAGACAGGAUGCUCCUUAAUAAGGGCUGCUCAAUUCACCACUCCUCCCUCCAGGCUUUGCGGGGAGCCGGAGGGGGAAUUCUGAGUGACCACUGGGGCCUCUACCGCCCACCCCAUCCGCCAGUCCCCACCAGACACUGCCUGGAGCCAGGGUCCUCCCCACUCUGGCCCUGAAGGAACCUUCAGGAAAUGGAGGAAGUAUGGACACAGCCCAGGCAUUUGGUUAAGUAUUUUUAAAAAGCUUUCCAAUUCUGCUAUUUUUUUCUCCUCACAUUCAAUAUUCUUGGUUGCUAAGUGGGAGGGAAUGUGGGGAGGUGGGAGAGGUGUGGGGAACUGAGGGGAAAUUGGCAACACGAAGCUGAUGGGUUUAUUUUUUCAUUUCUAAAGGGGGUACAGGCAAAGGAAAGCGCUCCGGCGCCGAGGCAACCUGCCUGGGCAGCAUCUCCUGCUAGCUGGUUCGGAGGCAGACUCCCCCAAAUCCUGAAGAUUUCAUAGGCCAGGAGUGGGGGCUUUCAGGGGAGAUAAAUAUGGACAGUUUCUAUUUUUGCUUCCAGACUUAGAAAUGUAGAAUUUUAAAAAAAUUAAAAUGAUCUUUAUUUUGAGAACAUAUCCACAAAAGGGAAGAGGCCAGUCUCAUGAUUACCUUUCACCAAGCGAAGGGCGGGUGCGCCCAGCAGCACAGCGCCGCGCCGCUGUUCCUGUGCUUGGGAAGGGGACUUCCAGCUGGGGGGGAGGUGGGGGCUGGGGCUGCCUGGCGGUGGGCAGGGCAGGGGCUGGACAGCUCAUGGCUUUCCAGGCAGAGCUCUCUUCCUUCCAGGUGCACUGCCCGCAGGGCCUGGGGUCACGGGUCUGUCUAUCAGUUUCCAGGGGGUCCAUCCCCUUAACAGGGCCCUGACUUUGAACAUUUUUUUUUAACUGCAGAAACAUUUGUAAAACAAUCUCACAGGGAACCCCAUCUCUGUUCUGCUGCCUCCGUAGCCCUCCCUCCCUGCUGGUCUCUGCAGACCACGGCCACCAGCCCACUGCCCGCCUCACCCUUCGUACUCAUUUAUAUUUUAGGUGACAUAUUUUUAGGCCCCUGACUCUUAAAAGCAUGAUAUCAGCUGACCAGACACCUUACUAGGAAAGUAAAAAAUACUCUGAGUAUUGGAGCAGUUGUGUGAAUUCACUUGAAUCAUUACAUCCCUUCUCAUUAAAUGACUUCCUUCACUUAGUAAUCUAAACAUAUGCAAGGGAAAACUGUGCAAGACUUGGAAAUGGGCAAAUAGGUGGGUGUCUGUCCGUGGAAUGCUGGGGGUUGACCAGCAGACCUUCCCCGGGUUAUCUGACUCUAAAGGGCAGGCACCGUUGACUCACUUCCCAUUGACGGAGCUACUUUACAGCUCUGUAGGGGUAGAAAUUAACCCGCGGAAAACUGAUAAUAAAGCAAGUGAAUUUUGUUUGGGGGAGAGACAACUGAUGUCACCCUGCAGUAAAGAACCCCAAACGAUAUCUUUCAUCAUCUUAUAGGAUGUUGUUUUUGUAUCUACUUGCAAAUCAUUUCAGCAUUCCUGCCUAUGAGUAUCUGUUCUUCAAACUCUUCUGUGAAUAGGUCUUAACAUUUUCCUGGUUCCUGCAUUAGUUAAUAAGGUAAAUAAAAUCUUUGACAUGUGUUUGAUAGUCGUAUGCAUCAUGAUUUUAACUUUUUCACAGUGAUAUUUUAUGCCAAUAGCCACUUCUCUUCUUAGUAGCAUGCGGCCUGAUGUCUGUGCAGGUCUUUUAAAUAUUGCUGCAGGAACCCCAUCUGGACCACAUAAAUGACUGGUCUAUACAUAAAUUACCAGAAAGAUAAGACUGGUCAAAGGAGUUAGGUAAACGGGUGUUAGAGAGAAACUGGAUAGAGAUCCAUUGUGAACUGAGUCCAGUGGGUCACUAUGGCAGUGAAAGCAAAAGAAACCCAGGAUCUGGAGGCUUCAUCAGCCACUGGGAAAACAGCCCCUUAAACAUGGAGUGUGAAGCUCCACUGCUAUCAUCUGCCACUUGUGGGGGCCUGGAGGUGCACAGGGGUGACAGAGUUAAUGCCUGCUAAAUGCCAAUCAGAGAAGGCACUGAUAGGCAGGGACCCAUGCAAAAGCCACGCAAAGCAGGCCCUGCUGGCCUCUUACCUGGGGUUGGUGAGGUUGUAGCAGGAUUUCCAUAUCUGCAGCAUGUGCUUACAAGUCAGCAGUGCCUCGUCCGGGCCUCGGCAGAGUGACUGCAACUUCACUUUGGAAAACAGUAGUCUGCAGUGGGGAGACAAAGGGAGAAAACACCACGGCUCAAGCCACAGAGUCCCCAUCCCAGCAAGACAAGUGGUGGGCUUAGACCCAGAAGCAGCUGUACUCAUUUCAGAAAGGGAACAUCCACAUGUGUGGUCCAAGGAAAGCGGGAUUCCAGAACUCCUGGCUCAAGGUGUUGCUUUGCACAAGUCUCACCACUAACGCAAAUGCAAGCACGAUGUGACUAUUUGUGGUCAGGCUGAAAGCAUUAGAGUGGCCAAUUUUAUUCAGAACACAGGGAAUUUAUUAAAAGCAUGCUUUUUAGAACCAAACCAAUUUAUUUGUGAAACCUCAAAAACUCAUUAAAAGCGAACCUUGGUUUAUUUACAGAAUUACACAGGAGAUUUGACUCAGUUGAUAUAAAUAUCUACAGAUAACCCUCCACAAUGAUGCUCACCGUCGUGUGAGCUUCGAAAGCCUGAACGGAAGUCCCAUGAAGAAGGGCAGCCUCCGGCAUAGGCCCUCAGCUCCUGUGUCUUCCCAUUCCUGCUACUGAGGGCCUAGGGCUCGUUCCGCAAUCACCUAGGUCUCUCUUCUGUAUUUUUGUUACCAUCAACUACUCCACCCUCCAUCCAGACCUUCUGGGCACUAAGCUCAGAAUGUUCUCUCUUUCGUGGCCCCACAGGGUAAUGCCAUUUCCAGAUUCUACUUAUGUUUCUCUGCCGACAUCAGCCUAGGUACCUGUAGACAUCAGCUCUCCUGGCCCCUGGACUUGUCACCACUAUCCUAGUAAAAGUCCCAGUAUGAGCCCAGCUUCCUUCCUGGUGUUCUUCCUGUCCCCUGACUUACCCGCUCUCACACAUCUUAUUAUAAAGAUCUCCAAAAAUCAUUCUUUUCCCCAAGACGGAGUCUUGCUCUGUCACCCAGGCUAGAGUGCAGUGGCACGGUCUUGGCUCACUGCAACCUCUACCUCCUAGGUUCAAGUGAUUCUCCUGCCUCAGCCUCCUGAGUAGCUGGGAUUACAGGCAUCCGCCACCACGUCCGGCUAAUUUUUGUAUUUUUAGUAGAGGUGGGGUUUCACCAUGUUGGCUAGACUGGUCUUGAGCUCCUGACCUCGUGAUCCUCCCAAAGUGCUGGGAUUAUAGGCAUGAGCCACCGCUCCCAGCCCCCAAAAAUCAUUUUUGUUCUCACCUCGAGAAACUACAAUGAUCCCUUACUUAUACUGUCUGUAAUAAUAAGUCAAAAUUCUGUAUCUCAUCGUUUAAGGCACUCCACCAACUAGCCACUCUUCUUUCACUGUCUCAUCCGAUUGGACCCUUUACUUCUGCCAAUGUAAUUCAUAGGCCAAAUGCUACUUUUCUGGCACAACUCUAUGGCUACACAUGCCACGUCCCCAACUUCAACUUCUACUCAUGCACAUCUUUCUUUAAUUCUUCCCAAACCCAGCCAAAACCCCACUUAAAUAAGUAAGUCUUCAAGUUUUAACCCCUUAUCUUCUCUACUCAGUAUGUGCCAUAUUAGCUGGCAUUUGUUGUUAAUAAUAAAAAGAAGAAAAAGAGAGGGAGGAGCUCCUGCUGACCGAAGGCAUCCCACGUGCCAGGCCUUGUGUUUGGCACUUCACACGCUGUCAAUGUCCUUGGAAGAAGCUGUCAAGGCAGGUGGUGUCUAACACUCUUCAACAGAUAUGGAAACUGAAGCUCUGGUGCCCUUUGGUUGUUUUCUGGAUGUGAUUUUCUUCCUGAGGACAAGAGCCCUGACAUCUCUCUCUGCCUCUCUGUAGCCUCACCUCCAGUUCCAAGAAUUGUGCUCUGAGUUUGAUGGGCCUUAAAUCAGCAUUUACUCACUGACUACUUUUUCUAUAAAGCAAGGCAUUUUAGAGAUUUCAGCUGGACAUCCAGGAGAAUUCCUUCACCCUGCAUGAUGUGAUGUCCUCAUUCAAAGGUACCUUAGAGGAGGAAAGUCUCUUUUUCAUGUGUGAGAGGUGGAAUGAAAGUGGUCCUAACCCAUCACUGCCCAAGCUCAGGAUGGGUUCACACCAAGCGCCCCCAGCGACCCCUCCAAAUGGAACAUAGGAAGUCCAGGGCGGUGCGGUGCUCCCAGUGGGGCCACGGCUGCAGCCUCCCCAUGCCUGGGCUUGCAGAAGCCUGGAAUGAUGGGACGAGGGCCAGGUAAAGGGAGGAAUGUAGUCUCUGAUCUACAAGCAGAUGAGCAUAAAGAGCGAGGCUAGAUGUGAGAAUAGGGCUCAGCUUCUGCUCAAAAACAUCCCAAGAAGCGGAAAUGCUUUGGAAGCCUUACCAAGACUGCCUAAAUGGGAUGGCAGCCGCUCAGGGUGCCUCUGUGGGGAUUAAAGACACCAGAAGCUGGCUCCUGCUGAAGCCUGCCCGAGUCCAGAACAAGAUGGGAGUACUUUUCCACCAGAAUCUCUCACCAAACAGGGGUCAACUGGGAGAGUUGACAAAGGAAGGAGAAGCUGCCAAACAGGUCACCAUUGGGUAGAGAGGGUGGUAAGGCAUGAGUGCCAAGCAAUUGCGGCAAGGGGAGGCCCCAUGGAGGACUGUGGGGGGUCCAGGAAGCCGUGCACGUGCUGCACAGGCUGGAGCUCUCUGGGGGCCAUGCCAAGAACUCCCCUCCAAUGGCGCCUGCCCCCAGAGGAGGUGCCUGCCCCACAGCGGGCAGUGGGGUGCCUCUAAUAGCAAUGAACUGUGGUUCCUUUAACUGUACCCAAAGGACAGAAUGCCAGAGUGCGUCUCUAAGCCUCAGCUUGGGGGAACAGUUUUGAGCAAGCCUUCUUGGCUGGAAAAAGAACUUCUAAUUAACAUAAAAUAACAGCUUUCAAACACUUGACUCAGGAUAUGGAAUUGAAAAGGUGUGGGCUUGCAUUUCAGAGAACCAGACAGGAAGAACAAUGGUAGAGUGGCUGAGCACAAACGAUGGAAAAAAGCACUUGGAAGACCUCUCAAGAGGAACAGCAUGAGAGAGGCUGGCAGAGAAAAGGAGCCAGGGACACAGCAGGGACAAAGAGGAAAGCCUGACAGCUGCUGCCUAGGCAGGAAUGCAAAAUGGCUGUGCAGAAAAGCAUGCGGGAUCUGCCCAAGCGGGGCAGCGGCUGAGGGGGCCCUGGAUACCUUCCCCAUCUCUUGCUGCCUCCUGUCCAGAUCGGGGGAGCUGGAGUGAGGCUGGCUGUCAAAUAUCCGAAGGAAAGUGAGCAUCUGUCACCAGGCUGCCACCAACUCGCCUGUGUCCAAAGGCCUCCCUCCCUACUGGUAUCCCUGGGGUGGUUACUGUGUGCUCACUCCUUCCAGACAUCCUUCAGUUAGUUUCCACUGAUGUAAAAAGAAAUGUGACUGUCUGAUAAAAUCUGUGUUGACAUGUAUAAGAGCUGAGGCCACGGACAGAAGUGUUCUAGAAGACCUCUGUGCCUCCAAUCAG
RNAcentral lists this long non-coding RNA (5686 nucleotides) under Homo sapiens (human). Its description in RNAcentral is "HSALNT0214661". Lineage: Eukaryota; Metazoa; Chordata; Mammalia; Primates; Hominidae. The record is from RNAcentral.